RNAcentral lists this ribosomal RNA (786 nucleotides) under uncultured Rhodobacterales bacterium. Its description in RNAcentral is "SSU rRNA". It matches the Rfam family "Bacterial small subunit ribosomal RNA", at positions 66 to 903 of the family's 1533-position model. Lineage: Bacteria; Pseudomonadati; Pseudomonadota; Alphaproteobacteria; Rhodobacterales. The record is from RNAcentral.
GCGCACCUUCGGGUGAGCGGCGGACGGGUUAGUAACGCGUGGGAACGUGCCCAGAUCUAAGGAAUAGCCACUGGAAACGGUGAGUAAUACCUUAUACGCCCUUCGGGGGAAAGAUUUAUCGGAUUUGGAUCGGCCCGCGUUAGAUUAGGUAGUUGGUGGGGUAAUGGCCUACCAAGCCUACGAUCUAUAGCUGGUUUUAGAGGAUGAUCAGCAACACUGGGACUGAGACACGGCCCAGACUCCUACGGGAGGCAGCAGUGGGGAAUCUUAGACAAUGGGGGAAACCCUGAUCUAGCCAUGCCGCGUGAGUGACGAAGGCCCUAGGGUCGUAAAGCUCUUUCGCCAGGGAUGAUAAUGACAGUACCUGGUAAAGAAACCCCGGCUAACUCCGUGCCAGCAGCCGCGGUAAUACGGAGGGGGUUAGCGUUGUUCGGAAUUACUGGGCGUAAAGCGCGCGUAGGCGGAUUGGAAAGUUGGGGGUGAAAUCCCAGGGCUCAACCCUGGAACUGCCUCCAAAACUAUCAGUCUAGAGUUCGAGAGAGGUGAGUGGAACUCCGAGUGUAGAGGUGAAAUUCGUAGAUAUUCGGAAGAACACCAGUGGCGAAGGCGGCUCACUGGCUCGAUACUGACGCUGAGGUGCGAAAGUGUGGGGAGCAAACAGGAUUAGAUACCCUGGUAGUCCACACCGUAAACGAUGAAUGCCAGUCGUCGGGUAGUAUACUAUUCGGUGACACACCUAACGGAUUAAGCAUUCCGCCUGGGGAGUACGGUCGCANAUUAAACUCA